Macaca fascicularis (crab-eating macaque) is the source of this 2063-nucleotide long non-coding RNA. Lineage: Eukaryota; Metazoa; Chordata; Mammalia; Primates; Cercopithecidae. The record is from Ensembl.
UUUUUUUUUGCAGUUGUGUGUUUAUUGCUGUGCUAUUCACACUAGCAAAGACGUGGAAUCAACCCAGGUACCCAGCAAUGGUAGACUGGAUAAAGAAAAUGUGGUACAUAUACACCCCGGAAUACUAUACAGCCACAAAAAAGAAUAGAAUCAUGUCCUUUGCAGCAACAUGAAUGGAGCUGGAGGCGAUAACCCUAAGCAAAUUCAUGCAGGAACAGAAAGCAGUUACAUACACCAUGUUUUCACUUAUAAGUGGGAGGUAAACACUGAACACACAUAGACAUAAAUAUGGGAACAGUAGAGACUGUGGACUCUGAGAGGGUAGCAGGGGGUGGGUUCAAAAACUACCUGUCGAUGGCUAUACUCACUAUCAGGGUGAUGGGAUUGCAAUAUUCCCAUGUGACAAAUCUGCACAUGUACCCUCUUUAUCUAAAAUAAAAGUUUAAAUUUAAAAAACAAGUAUAGUGGAAAAAAUAACAUAAAUACACUUCCAAAUAUUUAAACAGGAAAAAAAAUUUGUAUCACAUGACAUAUAUGCAAUAAAUAACAACUAACGGAAAAAUAAAAUCAUAUUUAAAAUACUAGGUUGGCCACAUUUAAAAUAAAUUAAAUUUAUCUCUUAUUUAGACUCCUGUCACUCCAACAAGUGAAGUCAGCCAAAUGGACCAUGAUGAUUUCUCUCAGGGUAGUCCUGUGCGGCACUGAUGCUUCUGUGUUUCCUGCUGCUCGUGAACUAUUGAGACUCUGCCACCAUUCACUGAUUCACACAAUUUCUUUCCUUUUGCAGAUCCUUGCAUUCUUUAAUUUCAAUCACAAAUGUCAUCUCCUUUUCUUUUUGCUAUUAUUCAUCUUGAGAAAUUGCCAUAGUAUUUGUAUCAUAUUAAGAACCUAUUAAAUCUCUUUGGUCUCUUGUAGCUCAGAUUAGCAACUAUGAAGCUACUUAGUAAAAUCCUCUAUAGUCCUUAUUAUUUAAAGCAUAUAAUGGAGUUAACAAAAAAAAAGCUGCUUUUUAAAAAAAUUAUACUUUAAGUUCUAGGGUACAUGUGCACAAUGUGCAGGUUUGUUACAUAUGUAUGCAUGUACCACGUUGGUGUGCUGCACCCAUUAACUCGUCAUUUACAUUAGGUAUAUCUCCUAAUGCUAUCCCUCUCCCCUCCCCCCUCCCCACAAUAGGACCUGGUGUGUGAUGUUCCCCUUCCUGUGUCCAAGUGAUCUCAUUGUUCAGUUCCCACCUAUGAGUGAGAACAUGCGGUAUUUGGUUUUCUGUUCUUGCAAUAGUUUGCUGAGAAUGAUGGUCUCCAGCUGCAUCCAUGUCCCUACAAAGGACACGAACUCAUCCUUUUUUAUGGCUGCAUAGUAUUCCAUGGUGUAUAUGUGCCACAUUUUCUCAAUCCAGUCCAUCACUGAUGGACAUUUGGGUUGAGUCCAAGUCCUUGCUAUUGUGAAUAGUGCCACAGUAAACAUAUGUGUGCAUGUGUCUUUAUAGCAGCAUGACUUAUAAUCCUUUGGGUAUAUCCCCCAGUAAUGGGAUGGCUGGGUCAAAUGGUAUUUCUAGUUCUAGACCCUUGAGGAAUCGCCACACUGUUUUCCACAAUGGUUGAACUAGUUUACAGUCCCACCAACAGUAUAAAAGUGUUCCUAUUUCUCCACAUCCUCUCCAGCACCUGUUUCCUGAUUUUUUAAUGAUUGCCAUUCUAACUGGUGUGAAAUGGUAUCUCAUUGUGGUUUUGAUUUGCAUUUCUCUGAUGGCCAGUGAUGAUGAGCAUUUUUUCAUGUGUCUGUUGGCUGUAUGAAUGUCUUCUUUUGAGAAGUGUCUGUUCAUAUCCUUUGCCCACUUUUUGAUGGGGUUGUUUGUUUUUUUCUUGUAAAUUUGAUUGAGUUCUUUAUAGGUUCUGGAUAUUAGCCCUUUGUCAGAUGAGUAGGUUGCAAAAAUCUUUUCCCAUUCUAUAGGUUGCCUAUUCACUCUGAUGAUAGUUUCUUUUGCUGUACAGAAGUUCUUUAAUUAGAUCCCAUUUGUCAAUUUUGGCUUUUGUUGCUCUUGCUUUUGGUGUUUUAGACAUGAA